AUUGAACGCUGGCGGCAGGCCUAACACAUGCAAGUCGAGCGAGCGGCGGACGGGUGAGUAAUGUAUGGGGACUGCCCGAUAGAGGGGGAUAACUACUGGAAACGGUAGCUAAUCCCGCAUACUAUCGGAUAACCCAUAUGGGAUUCGCUAUUAGGUGAGGUAAGGGCUCACCUAGGCGACGAUCCCUAGCUUGUCUGAGAGUAAGAUCAGCCACACGGGGACGGAGACACGGACCAGACUCCGACGGAGGCAGCAGUGGGGAAUAUUGCACAAUGGGCGCAAGCCUGAUGCAGCCAGGCCGCGUGUAUGAAGAAGGGCCUAGGGUUGUAAAGUACUUUCAGUCGGGAGGCGUUACCGACAGAAGAAGCACCGGCUAACUCCGUGCCAGCAGCCGCGGUAAUAC
RNAcentral lists this ribosomal RNA (403 nucleotides) under uncultured bacterium. RNAcentral's name for it is "partial 16S ribosomal RNA". It matches the Rfam family "Bacterial small subunit ribosomal RNA", at positions 30 to 526 of the family's 1533-position model. The record is from RNAcentral.